This is a long non-coding RNA of Papaver somniferum (opium poppy), 3541 nucleotides long. RefSeq lists it as uncharacterized. The transcript is spliced from 2 exons. The record is from RefSeq and is a predicted model, not a curated record. Lineage: Eukaryota; Viridiplantae; Streptophyta; Magnoliopsida; Ranunculales; Papaveraceae.
ACAUCUCAUCUCGUAUCAAAACAAGAAGAAAGCAUAGAGGUUUUCAUUUCUCAAUCAAGCUGGUGGAGUCAUUAACAGAGAAAAGGAGAUCUGAGAGCAUCAUUGUGGACGGAGUAUUUCAAGCAGUUGCCGUUCGAAGAUCUGUAGGGUUCGUUAUCGCUGAAGUGGGGUUAUAAGACAGCAAAAUUGGCUGAAUUGGUUCUGUUUUGGGGGUUAAUCAGCGGCAACAAGACAGAUCUGUGAGUUUGGGUUGGGAAUUUUAUGUAGAACAAGGAUGGAAGCUCGAGAUGAAUUCCGUUGUGAAAUUGAAGAUAGCAACUGAUGAUGAUUUGGUUUGGUGUCGGAUCGAGCUCAAGUUCAGUUGAUGAGAAAAGCAAAGAGAUGAGGACUGCUGUUAAUGGCACGAAUGAAGAAAGACGCCGGAGAACAGAAAUGACGAUUGCUGUUGGUAUUGUUGCAGUGAGGAUUAAUUGCAGGUGGUAUUAUUUGGGGUCUGUUGAUUGAAGAAGAACUGGUGUUGUUCGAUAAUUCGAAUUAGGGUUGCGGCCAUCGAUUCGUGGCUGGGUACGAGAAGUUUAAGCAACAGAUGUAUGGGGAUUGCAGAUGAGAAAGAAGUAGAGAUGGUGAUGCAAGUUGAACGGGGUUGUGAAGACUGUCACUGACGCCACACCUUUGAGCAAGUUUUUAAUGGGUGAUUGCAGAAAUGUAAUAAUGCUGAGUGAUUCAAAUUAGUGUUGAUGCCAUGUGUACGAGAAGAUUAAACAACUGAUUUUGGGAGGUUUCUGGUGCAACAGCGACAACUGAAAUUGGAGAUUUCUGAACUCGAACUGAAAUUGGGGUUCUGUGGUUAAUUUGAGAUGUGCAGUUGGGGAAGAAAGAUGCUGCGGAUGGGAGAAGCAUGUCGAUGGGCAUUUGUGGCGAAGUCCAGAUCUGUAUGCGACUGUUAGCACAAAUAUAUGUGAAUUGCAGUUCCGAAAAUUGAGUUCAGUUCAUGGGGUUUCUGUGGCUGUAUAAACGGGAAUGAAGAUGGACCAAUUCACUUGAAUGAAGUCUAGAUUAAGCUUAAAAUCUGGCGGUUAUUGUUACAGAAUGGAAGUAGAUGCUGUAGCCUAGAAGUUAGAUGGUCAGGGAAUGGAGAUUGUAGAGCCGGUGAAUUGAAUCUGUGUUGGGUUGAUUUGAGAAUGAUGCUAUGGCUGGUGUUGGAAGGGCCUGAAUCUGGGAGUUAGGUGGUGCUUGGAUUGGGCCUGGCAAUUACAGCUCGGUCCUAGUUGGAGUGAGCAGCAAAACCUACAAAUAGCCGGCGAGAGGAGAAAAAAAGGCACGCCGUAAUCAGGGAAGCAAUUAGGUUUAGCUCCAUUUCAUUUGAUUGAUUUUCUAUAUGUUGAGUUUAUUCAUCUUUAUAUCAUUUUUUAUGGCUUUGAGCAAAACCAUGUCUAGCUAAAUCUAUUGUUAGGGUGAAGGAUGAACUUGUAGGUUUAUUUUAUUCAUGUUCUAAAACAAGGGUUUCUACCAACUGUGAGCUUAAUGUCAUUUGUUUGAGUUUCUCUACAAUGAUUUAUCUUCUAUUCAACUUCUCAUAUUCUAUGCCAUGUAUAGUCUAUUGUUAGGUUGAUAGAAAUACUCACUGAACCUUGUUAUUGAUUGUUGUAUGAUUAUUCCAAGACUAUGUAUGUCAUGUAUUCUUAGUACUAGGGAUGUCUACCUUCUAGGUUGAGAACAAACAAUAAUUUAUGAUAAUUCUUGCCUAUAAAUCCUUAAUGAAAUAUCUUCCGUGCGUUAGUAGCUAGGUUUGCAACUUCGCAUGAGUAAAUUUGAGACCUUGUGAUAGAACAUUAGUAAACGUAACUUACAACGGAUUCCGUAGCCCUAAUACUUCCACAUCUUUGAUACAAUCUUAAUUGUUUUGUUUUGGUUCAAUUUGUUAGCUUAUAGGAAUUAUGAAAUCUCCACUUUGAACUAUUCUUGACUUGAAAGUUACUAGUAUUGAUUGGAAAAAGAGUUUAGCUCUCCUCAUGGGAACGAUCCCUAUUUGCCACUAUUCACAUAUAGUGCAUCGUAUACUUGCGGUUAUACUUGCGGUUAAUUAAAGUCGGUUUUCCGACACAUCACAUACUUCUUUGGUAAUGCAACUAAUUCUUCUACGGGAGACAAAUUCUGAAAGCGUCUCUCAUUGACGUAGUUAUCGUCGAUCCAGAUAUGGAAUAUCUUGGACGUUGUUUCACCGUUGUGGCAGUCGUGCAUAUGGUACUGGAGUUUGGAGUUGGUGAUUUUGGACAUGCAGGGUGUUGUAUCUCGGUGGUUUUCGUCUUGCCGCUUCAGCGAAACUGCUUACAGAAGGCUGAAGCUUGCAUUGCCUGCAUUUUUGGGAAAUAAACAUUUUUGGAAAAUUCGGCUCGAAAAGGUGGUUAAGGCGCCCGCAAGACACAUAUAUUCGGACUCUUACUGUUGGAUAAGGGGCACCUAGUUGAUAAGGGACACCCUCUUGUACUAUGUACAGACACCUGCUAUUCGCACCCCAGUGUCUGAUAGGGGGCAGUCAUCUUCUUCCAUUUUAAGAAUCAGUUUUGGCGGGAAAAUGAUUUUCCUUCCUGCGUAAUUUUCUGGAGGAUACUUCCACGAGAUUUAGUCGGAGCUGCUGGGAUAUUUCCACGAGAUUUAGUCGGAGCUGCUGGGAUAUUUGGAUAUAUAUCGACCUGUUUUCAUAAAACCGGGAUGGUAAGCAAUUUAAUACCGAAUGAAAAGGUGAUUUCCAUCGAUUCUCAGUAAAUCAGGGAGGAAUUAUUAUUGGAUUUGAUUCGAAUUUAUUUUGGGAGAUACGUGAGAUUAUGGGAGGAGAUGUUGGUGCAGUUAUUACGAAGAUUUUUCGUGAUUAUCGUAAAAUAGGAGAAGGAAUUAAGCAGUCCGAGUAGUUUUGAUAAAACAGGGAAGAUCAUGUUCCCGGGUUAGGAAAUGGAAAGUUCAUCGAUAAAACAGAGAAGAUAUCUUUUCUGUUGAAGUAUGACCGGUCUGGGAAGAGUAUUAAGUGUGUUGGAGUGCCUCAACACCAUGCAUACGUGUGAAGGAGCUAUAUAUGGGAAUUAUUUCCCGUGACUGGCAGAGGAGAAUAAUGAAUUUAUUGGAGGAUCAUUCGCAGUUAUGGGAGAGUAUUCUCGGUGCUGUGAGACUAUAUACGUUGAGAAGGUGAACAGAGAAGGUUAUGGAGAGUUAGGGGAUAGAAGAGAGCGAAAAUAAUCAAGUUGCAGAGCCAUGUUCAUCAUCCGCAGAGAAGUGAAGAAGAAGAACAGACUACACUAAUAGUCUGUCGUUUAUAAAGUGUGAUCUAUUCUCACUACUUGCGACUGUUGUGCUGCAAUAGUUUUGAGCAAUAGUUUAUUUAACAGCGUCCAUGUAACAUUUAUUUUGAAUUCGCAACACCACUGUAACAGAGAGUCUGUGACGCCUAUAAAGCGUUCCAAACUCACUGUUUUAUAUAUUUUCUCCUUUUCCACCACUUGUAAACACUUUAGAGCAAUGAAAAAUUAUUACGAGCGUGUUUUCACCA